GAUAGCUCAGCGGGUAGAGCACGAGACUAAUAAAUCUCAGGGUCGUGGGUUCAGGAAGAAAGAUUCCUGCAUUGCA
Non-coding RNA from Podarcis lilfordi (Lilford's wall lizard), 76 nucleotides. The record is from the annotation of a GenBank genome assembly. NCBI's taxonomy places the organism in Eukaryota, Metazoa, Chordata, Lepidosauria, Squamata, Lacertidae.